UGGGGAAUAUUGCACAAUGGGCGCAAGCCUGAUGCAGCCAUGCCGCGUGUGUGAAGAAGGCCUUCGGGUUGUAAAGCACUUUCAGCGGGGAGGAAGGCGUUAAGGUUAAUAACCUUGGCGAUUGACGUUACCCGCAGAAGAAGCACCGGCUAACUCCGUGCCAGCAGCCGCGGUAAUACGGAGGGUGCAAGCGUUAAUCGGAAUUACUGGGCGUAAAGCGCACGCAGGCGGUCUGUCAAGUCGGAUGUGAAAUCCCCGGGCUCAACCUGGGAACUGCAUUCGAAACUGGCAGGCUAGAGUCUUGUAGAGGGGGGUAGAAUUCCAGGUGGAGCGGUGAAAUGCGUAGAGAUCUGGAGGAAUACCGGUGGCGAAGGCGGCCCCCUGGACAAAGACUGACGCUCAGGUGCGAAAGCGUGGGGAGCAAACAGG
This 429-nucleotide ribosomal RNA is filed under the name Chloroflexota bacterium. RNAcentral's name for it is "Chloroflexi bacterium partial 16S ribosomal RNA". It matches the Rfam family "Bacterial small subunit ribosomal RNA", at positions 355 to 776 of the family's 1533-position model. The record is from RNAcentral. Lineage: Bacteria; Bacillati; Chloroflexota.